CAGCAGCCGCGGUAAUACGUAGGGUGCAAGCGUUAAUCGGAAUUACUGGGCGUAAAGCGUGUGCAGGCGGUUCUAUAAGACAGAUGUGAAAUCCCCGGGCUCAACCUGGGAACUGCAUUUGUGACUGUAGAGCUGGAGUGCGGCAGAGGGGGAUGGAAUUCCGCGUGUAGCAGUGAAACGCGUAGAUAUGCGGAGGAACACCGAUGGCGAGGGCAAUCCCCUGGGCCUGCACUGACGCUCAUGCACGAAAGCGUGGGGAGCGAACAGGAUUAGAUACCCGAGUAGUCCCUGUCUCUUAUAC
RNAcentral lists this ribosomal RNA (301 nucleotides) under uncultured bacterium. RNAcentral's name for it is "partial 16S ribosomal RNA". It matches the Rfam family "Bacterial small subunit ribosomal RNA", at positions 509 to 807 of the family's 1533-position model. The record is from RNAcentral.